AGAGUUUGAUCCUGGCUCAGGAUGAACGCUAGCUACAGGCUUAACACAUGCAAGUCGAGGGGAAACGACAUCGAAAGCUUGCUUUUGAUGGGCGCGACCGGCGCACGGGUGAGUAACGCGUAUCCAACCUGCCCACCACUUGGGGAUAACCUUGCGAAAGUAAGACUAAUACCCAAUGAUAUCUCUAGAAGACAUCUGAAAGAGAUUAAAGAUUUAUCGGUGAUGGAUGGGGAUGCGUCUGAUUAGCUUGUUGGCUGGGUAACGGCCACCAAGGCUACGAUCAGUAGGGGUUCUGAGAGGAAGGUCCCCCCANAUUGGAACUGAGACACGGUCCAAACUCCUACGGGAGGCA
Molecule: ribosomal RNA, 352 nt
Filed under: uncultured bacterium
Lineage: Bacteria
Description: bacterial SSU rRNA
Rfam family: Bacterial small subunit ribosomal RNA
Source: RNAcentral